UAAUCCCGUCUCUUUCCCAUUUCUCUCUUUUCCUCUCACCGUUUCUCUCCCCCCCCCCCCCCUCUCUGUCUAACCCUAAUAACUCCGGCGACGUCACCAUCAUUCCUGCUAGUCAUCGCCGCCGCCGUUCCUACCCAGCUGAAAAAAGCUUGUUUCAGAUAUGACAUUGAAAAAAGAGUUUGCCUAAUUGACUACUUCUUCCGAAUCUCUCCCCCAUUUUGUAAGCUCUCACACUUUCUUCACUUCAUUUUCCCCAUAUCUCACGCCCUUCUCUUCUUCCAAUGCUCUCCACCUUCAUUUUCCAUCUUCUGGGUAAGCCCUAACUUCUCCUUUGAUUCACUAAUUUCUUUACCAGACUUUCUUGAAUCCUUCUAAGAAGAACAGGGUUUUGCACCAUUCUCAAAUGAUUCAGUUUUUUAUUUGGAGUACCUUUUUCUUAUAAAUAAGCUAAUAGUGGAUUGCAAAUGAGAGGUGGUUUGUUAAAUUCCUGACUGCCUGCAGUUGUUUUGGAUAUUUCCACAUAUCUCAACAACUUUAGAUGGAGAUACAAAGUUGUUCUCCUCAUUAGCAAGACCUGCAGGAGCUGGGGAAUAAUUUCCUUAACUAUAGCUUAUUUUUGGCAACUCUAUACUUUAUGGAUCCUUGUUCAGCUGCAUGAAGCAGUUCCUGGGAAGAGAUACAAUAGAUAUGUGGAACUUGCACAAGCAGCUUUUGGUGAAAGACUUGGGGUUUGGCUUGCUCUCUUCCCUACUGUUUACCUAUCUGUAGGGACUGCGACAGCUUUGAUUCUCGUAGGAGGUGGAACCAUGAAGAUGUUCUUUCAAAUUGUUUGUGGUCCGCUCUGUUCAUCGAAUCCUUCAAGUCUUAUCAGUCUAAUGAGUUCUGUUGCAGGCAUUGUUUUAUAGAUAAAUGCAAUUGCAGUGAUCCAUAAAUUUGGUCACAUUGUAUUGACUGAUAUAGAAGAACUGUAAUGUCUAUGUCUUAUUUCUCCUUAUUGUUGAUAGCAAGUGCAACUGUGGCCUUAUAUUAGUUUCUGCGCAACUGUUGGAACCAUUUCUUGUUAUGGAAAUAUCUCUGAAAAGAAGAGAAUAUAAUUCUUGUUUUA
Molecule: long non-coding RNA, 1105 nt
Organism: Lycium barbarum (goji berry)
Lineage: Eukaryota; Viridiplantae; Streptophyta; Magnoliopsida; Solanales; Solanaceae
Exons: 4
Source: RefSeq, a predicted model, not a curated record